This 1138-nucleotide ribosomal RNA is filed under the name uncultured organism. RNAcentral describes it as "bacterial SSU rRNA". It matches the Rfam family "Bacterial small subunit ribosomal RNA", at positions 302 to 1469 of the family's 1533-position model. The record is from RNAcentral.
GGACCCCCACACUGGCACUGAGAUACGGGCCAGACUCCUACGGGAGGCAGCAGUAAUGGAUAUUGCGCAAUGGACGAAAGUCAGACGCAGCGACGCCGCGUGGGCGAUGAAGGCCUUCGGGUUGUAAAGCCCUUUUAUGGGGGAAGAGAAAAAGGACGGUACCCCAGGAAUAAGUCCCGGCUAACUACGUGCCAGCAGCCGCGGUAAAACGUAGGGGACAAGCGUUAUCCGGAUUCACUGGGCGUAAAGAGCAUUGAGGCGGUUCCGUAAGUUGGGCGUGAAAGCUCCGGGCUUAACUCGGAGAUGUCGUUCAAUACUGCGGGGCUUGAGGACAGCAGAGGAAGGUGGAAUUCCCGGUGUAGUGGUGAAAUGCGUAGAUAUCGGGAGGAACACCCGUGGCGAAGNCGGCCUUCUGGGCUGUUCCUGACGCUGAAGGCGAAAGCUAGGGGAGCGAACGGGAUUAGAUACCCCGGUAGUCCUAGCUGUAAACGAUGGAUGCUGGGUGUGGGGGGUGUAAAUUCCCUCUGUGCCGAAGCAAACGCGUUAAGCACCCCGCCUGGGGACUACGGCCGCAAGGCUAAAACUCAAACGAAUUGACGGGGGCCCGCACAAGCAGCGGAGCGUGUGGUUUAAUUCGAUGCUACACGAAGAACCUUACCUGGGUUUGACAUGCACGUGGUAGGGAACCGAAAGGGGACCGACCUUCGGGAGCGUGCACAGGUGCUGCAUGGCUGUCGUCAGCUCGUGCCGUGAGGUGUCGGGUUAAGUCCCGUAACGAGCGCAACCCUUGCCCUUAGUUACAAGUGUCUAAGGGGACUGCCCGGGACAACUGGGAGGAAGGUGGGGAUGACGUCAAGUCAGCAUGGCCUUUAUAUCCAGGGCUACACACACGCUACAAUGGCCGGUACAAUAGGUUGCGAAGUCGUGAGGCGGAGCCAAUCCUCAAAGCCGGUCUCAGUUCGAAUUGCAGUCUGCAACUCGACUGCAUGAAGCUGGAGUUGCUAGUAAUCGCAGGUCAGCUAUACUGCGGUGAUACGUUCCCGGGCCUUGUACACACCGCCCGUCACGUCAUGGAAGCUGGCAACGCCUGAAGCCGGUGAGCUAACCCGAAAGGGAGGCAGCCGUCGAGGGUGGGGCU